ACAGUGCUGAAGUGGUUCCUCUAACGGUGGCCACGGAUUUGCUGUAGUCGGGUGCUUGUAGUUAGGGAGAGUCUGAUUCCCUCCAGAGAGCCAGAACAGGGUGCUCUCCAAGGUCUUGGGAUCACGGGGACAGGUCUGGUAUACAUCGAAACCCAGGGGCAGGUUGGCGAGUUGAGGAGAGUUCUUGUUGGUCUCCUCAAGGGUGAAGGAAAGGCCAGUUCAGGCUGGUAAUUCUUCCAGACACACCUAAGCCAAGGGGCAGCACUUGGGAGAAUGGUCGAGUCAUGCCAUUCAGGGACAAAUGCUAAGCCAGGCCAAGGGAAAGGCCAGGUUCUGGACUCAGGUUACCCAUCCAGAGAUGCUCCUGUUUUGGCAGAUGGAGGUGGUGUGAACAUGGUUCCCAGGGCUAUGGGACACCCUGGCAUGGCUCUCUCACUGUGAUGAGGCAAAUCGUGUCCAAAUCAGCAAGAUGGGAUUGCAGGGCGCUGUGAGGGUGGGGAGAUGGCAUUGAGCUGGAUGGUGUGGCUGUCAACUGGAUAGAUUUUUUGUUAGCUCCCACAAAUGGAAGAUGCAUCUGUGCAUGGACCACAUGGCAAGAUAUUCUCGAGGUCUGUGAUUGAGGAGUACAAACGCCAUCUCAUCGACCACUUUGGAAAGACUGAGUUGAAUCCCAACGUGAUCCUGUUUUCGCUUGUACUGGAAGCCAAGCUGCAAGCAUCCGUCCCCACUUUGGACCUGGAAUAGUUUAAAUGGCACCCGACUUACCAGUUCCUCAAAUAUUUUGAGCAUUGCCUUCCAACUCCAUAUUCACCUGAGGCAUUACAAGGGACUCACAUUUUUAGAUUCUCUUCUCAUAAGUCAGCUAUUAGGAAGCCAGUUUUGGUAACUUCUAUGUGCCUUGAACAAGAAACAUUUCAUCCAGAUUUGCUAAUUUCUUUCCUCGUGGACUUCCACAAUCUACGUCGAAUUUGGAAACCCAAAGAUGGGCUAAAUGGUGCCUCCUGUGCCCACAGCUGUACUCCCGCAACAAACUAAAUAUUUCCACGUGCCGGGUCAGCUCUCAGGAGCACCCCAGUCGUGGAGCAGACACUCUUGGGACACCCAUGCCUUCAUCCUGGCCCUGGACUAGCCCUGGGACCUGCCAUGACUCUUUCUCCUCUGAGGGACAGCACAGCCUUCCCCACCUUUCUCUGGCAAGUCUCUUUCCUGUGUGGCUGUGCCGCAUUAGGAAGGGCAUGGGCUGCCAGGAGCCAGGAUUGAUCCUCAGCUUCGGGCUGUGCUGAGAUGGACUCCCUGGCAGAGCCUAGCGUGCCAUGUGUUUGAGUGAUGCUUGCAGCCAUCAGGGAGGAUGGGAGAAGUCAGAAGUGCCAGGGGCUUCACCCAGCCCUUGUCUUUCAGGCUCUUUCCAAGGGACGAGAUUGCAAAGGCUGGGUGGUCAGGCUUUUGCUUCUGGUUCUGGAGCCAGUGCUCCAGCUGAGCUCAGAGGAGUGUCUGUUUAGCACCCAGAUGGGAAGCAUUUCAUCAUUUCCCUCAGUAAGGCUGUGUCCACACAGGUGGAAGGUGGAAGAGGCAUGGCCAGCAAGUAGUUCAGGCGUGGCCAUCAAGUGGUUCAGUUGUGUCGGCCAACUGGUACAAACAUGACCGGCACAUGGUUCAUGAUGUCCAGGAUAUGGUUUAGGUGUGUCAGACACAUGGUUCAGGGGUUUCCAGGAUAUGGUUCAGGCCUGUCCAGAAGGUGGUUCAGGCAUGCCUGGCAGGUGUUUCACCCAUGUCCAGCAGGUGGCUCAUGAGUGUCUGGCAUGUGGUACAGGUGUCUGACACCUGGUACAGGCGUGUCCAGCAUGUGGUACAGGACUGGUGGCACUUGCUUCAGGCGAGCCUGACAGGUCGUUCAGAGAUGUCCUGCUCAUGGUUCAUGGGUGGCAGUUGUGUGGUUCAGGAGUGGCUGGCACGUGGUUCCAGUGUGUCUGUCAGAUGGUUAAGGUGUGUCCAGAAUGUGGUUCAAGCCUGUCUGGCAGGUGCUUCAAGUGUGUAGGGCAGGUUGUUUAGGUGUGUUGGGCACAUAGUUCAGGUGUGGCAGUCAUGUGCUUCAGGCGUGGCUGGCGUGUAGUUCAGGCAUGGCAGUCCUGUGGUUCAUGUGUGGCUGGUACUUGGUACAGAUAUGGAUGAAAAUUGGUUUAGGUGUGGUCGGCAUGUGGUUCAUGCAUGGACAGCAUGUGGUUUUUGCGUGGCUAUCACGUGGUACAGCUUUGGACGUCAGGUGGAUCUGGCGUGCUCAGCACGUGGUUCUGGCUUGCUUGAUCAGCAUGUUGUUCAGGCAUGGCAGGCACAUGUUCCAGGCAUGGCAGCCGCGUGGUUCAGGUGUGGCUGGCACUUGUUUGAGGCAUGGACGAAUCUUGGUUCAUGGGUGUCCGGCACGUGGUUCAGGCUUGGUUGGCAUGUGGUUUAGUUAUGUUCGGCAGGUGGUUCAUGCAUGCCUUGCAGGUGUUUCCAGCAUGUCUGUUACAUAGUUCAGGCAUGUCUGGCACCUAGUGCAGGUGUGUCCAGCAUGUGGUACAGGCAUGGCCAGCACAUGGCUCAGGCAUGUUCAGCACAUGGUUCAGGCAUAGCCGUCACGUGGUUCUGAACUUUUCCGCACGUGGUUUAGGCAUUUCAGGCAGGUGCUUCAUGCAUGUCCGUCAGGUGGUUCAAGUGUGUCCAGCACUUUGUUCAGGCAUGUCUGGCAUGUUUUUCAGGCACGUCUGGCAGGUGGUUUCAGCUUCUCUGGCAGGUGGUUCAGGCUUGUCUAGCAGGUGGUUCAGAGGUUUCCAGCAUUUGGUUACAGGUUGCAGGCACAUGGUUCAGGCGUUUCAGGCAGGUGGUUCAGGAGUGUCCAGCAGGUGGUUCAAGCGUGUAUGGCAGCUGGAUCAGGCAUGUAUGGCAGGUGGUACAGGCAUGUAGCAAACAUGGUUCAGGUGUGUGUGGCAAGUUGGUCAGUCAUGGCCGACACAGGGUUCAGGCAUGGCUGUCACGUGGUUCAGGCAUGACAUGCAUGGGGUUCAGGUGUGGUUGAAACUUACUAUCGGCAUGGCCAGCACGUGGUUCAGGAAUCGAUGAAACUUGGUUCAUGCAUGUCUGGCAUGUGGUUCAGGUGUGUCCGGCACUAUCUUCAGGCAUGUCACGUUGGUGGUUCGGGCGUGUCUGACACGUGGUUCAGGAAUGUCUGCCCGGUGGUUCGGCCAUGCCCGGGACAUGGUUCAGGCCUGUCUGGCAGGUGGUUGAGGCAUGUCCGGCAGGUGGUUCAAGCGUGGGCAGCAUGUGGUUCAGGAGUGUAUGGCACAUGGUUCAGGCAUGGAUGAAACUUGUUUCCUGGGUUUCUGGCAUGUGUUUCAGGCAUGUCUGGCAUGAGCUUCAGGCCUGUUGGGCAGGUGGUUCAGGCAUGUCUGGUACGUGGUUCAGGAGUUCAUGCCAAGUGGUUUAGACAUGUUUGGCACAUGGUUCGUGAGUGUCAGGCUGGUGGUUCAGGUGUUUCCUUCAGGUGGUUCAGGCGUGUCCAUCAUGUGGUUCAGGCAUGUCUAGCAUGUGUUUCAGGCAUGUCUGGCAGGUGGCAGAGGGGUGUCUGGCAGGAGGUUCAUCAUUGACCAGCAUGUGGUUCAGGUGUGGCUGACACAUGGUUCAGGUGUGUUCACCAGGUGGUUCAUGCAUGGCCAGCACGUGGUUCAUGUGUGUCCGGAACGUGAUUUAGAUAUGUCAGACACGUGGUUCAGGGUUUUCUGGGAUGUGAUUCAGGGGUUUCUGGCAUGUGGUUCAGGACUGUCUGGCAGGUGGUUCAGGGGUGUCAGGCACUUGGUUCAGGUGUGUCCUUCACAUGGUUCAGGUGAGGAUGGCACAUGGUUCAGUAAUGGCCGACAUGUGGUUCAGUCGUGACCGGCAUAUGGUUGAGGUAUGGAGGGCAUGUGGUUCAGGCAUGUUGGGCAUGUGAUUUGGCUUGCCCUGCACAUGGUUCUGGCAUGGCGGGCACAUUGUUCUGGCAUGGCCAGCUCGUGGUUCGGGCGUGAAUGUCACAGGGUUCAGGUGUGGCUAGCACAUCGUUACCACGUGGAUGUAAUUUGGUCCUUGCGCAGCACACACGUGGUUCAGGCUUGGCUGGCAUGUGGUUCCGGUCUGGAUGGCACAUGGUUCCAGUGCGGCUGGCAUGUGGUUUCAGUGUGGGUGUCGCGUGCUUCAGGCAUGGAAGGCAUGUGGUUCCAGCAUGGUUGGAAGGUGUAUGUGGCGUGGAUGGCAUGUGUGUCAGGCGUGGCCUACAUGUGGUUCAGGCAUUGUCAGCACGUGGUUCAUGCAUUAAAAGCAUGUGGUUCAAUAUUUGAUUGCACGUGGUCCAGGUAAGAUUGACGCACGGUUCAGGCAUGGCUGACAAGUGGUUCAGGCAUUGCUGGCAUGUGUUCAGGCGUGGCUUGCGCAUGGUUCACAUGUGAUUCAGGGGUGCCUGACAUGUGGUUCAGGCAUGGGCGACCCAUGUCACACACAUGGAUCGGGUGUGUUUCAUACGUGACUCACAUGUUGUUCAGGUGUGUUUCAUGCAUGAUUCAUGUGUGCUGCACACGUGGUUCACAUGUGGGUCAAGUGUGGCUCACAUGAGGUUCAGACAUGGUUCUGGAGUUGCUCACACAUGAUUCAGGUGUGGCUCUGUGGUGGUGCACAUGUGGCUGACACAUGCAUCACAUGUUGAUCACAUGUGGUUCAAGCAUGGAUCACAUCUGUUUCAGGCAUAGCUAACACGUGACUUAGGCAUGGCUGACAGCUGACUCAGGAUUGGCUCAAAGGUUAUUCAGACAUGGCUCGCAUGUGGUUCAGGUGUGGCUGACACAUGACUCAGGCCUGUCUCACAGGUGGUCCAGACCUGGCUGACACUUGGCUAAGGCAUGACUGCAACAUGGCUCAUGUAUGGCUUACACAUAGCUCAGGUGUGGCAGACACGUGGCUCAGGUGUGUCACACUCGAGGCUCACUUGUGGCUCACACAUUGCUCAGGAGUGGCUCACGAAUUACUCAGGUGAGGCUGAUGUAUGGAUGAAGCACAGUUUAGGCUUUGAUGGCUCGUGUUUCAGGUGUGCCUGGAACGAAUAUCAGGACUGGAUGACAAGUUUUUCAGGUAUGGCUGGCAUGAAUUUGGGGCAUGGUUGACACGUGGUUCAUGUGUGCCUGGCCUGUGGUUCAGGUGUGGUGGGCACUUGUUUCCUGCAUAGCCCCACGUGGUGCAGGCAUGGUUCAAACGUGAUUCAAGCUUGCCUGAAAAGUGUUUCAGGAGUGGCUGACAUGUAACUCAGGCGUGGAUCACAUGUGGUUCAGGCGUGGCUCACAUGUGGCUCAGGCAUUGAUCUUGUGUUGCUCACAUGUUCCUCAGAUGUUGUUCAAGUGUGGCUCACAGGUGUUUCACUCAUGGUUUAGGGAUCACUCACACAUUGUUCAGGCAUAGUGCAGGUGUGGUUCACAUGUAGUUCAGAUUUGGCUCAAGUGUGUCUCACAUGUGGCUCAGGCAUGGUUCAGGCAUAGGCCAGGUGUGGCUCACAAAUGGCUCCGUGUGGGUCACACAUGUUUCUGGUGAGGCUGACACGUGUUUCAGGCGUGUGUGGCAUGUGGAUCCAGCAUGGUUGGCAUGUGGUUCAGGUGUGGCUAGUGCGUGGUGCAUGCGUGGCAGGCCUGUGGUUAAUGUGAGGCCAGUAAGUGGUUCUGGCGUGGCUGGUACAUGGUUCAGGUGUUGAUGGUACGUAGUUCAGGCAUGGCCAUCAUGUGCUUCAGGAGUGGAUAGCACAUGGUUCAGGCCUGGCUAGCAUGAGUAUCAGGUGUGCCUAGCACAUGGUUCUCAUGUGGCUGGCACAUGAUACAUGUGUGGCAGAAAUGUGGUUCAGGCAUGUCUGAUGUCAGUGAAAAUAAUCCAUAACCAAUCUAUAAAUGAAAAUUUGGGAGGGUUUAUUCUGAGCUGAAACCUGAGGACCAUGACCUGGGGCCUUUCUUCCCGAAGGUAGAAAGGGCACCAAAGAAGUGGGGUGUACAGAGUGGUUGCAUACCCCCAGAGAAGAUGUUUCAUAUAGGAUUGAAAUGUCCCAUUUACAAUAGUGCGAGACUGCUCUGUCGGCACAGUGAUUGAUGGAAGUAGCAGGUAUGUCUUCUGUCUCAGUGAACACAGCAGGGUGGCAGUCUGUUGUCUCCAGCUGAGUGGUCACAAGUGAGCGCCGCAAUCAGUUCCUAGCCUAAGAAAAGAUGCUUAAUAUUUAAGGAAAUGCCAACGUUGGGAGGGGGAGGGAAGUUGCACCUUUAUUGAAAGGGCCUUUGUUCUUGCCAUAGGAAAUGUAUAUACAAUGCAUGCUCAAUGGCCACGGUCAGGCCCUUUUGGAAAAAACAAAGUCAGGCCAAAUUAGCUUUAUACCAAAUGGCUUCCUCAUAUACUUCAAUAUAUACUAUUGCUUGCCAUUUUUAUUUGUCACGUUGUUCAGGAGUUGAUGGCAUGUGGUUCCAGCAUGGCUGUCACGUGUUACAGAGGUGGAUGGCACGUGGUCAGGCAUGUGUGACAUGCAACUCCGGUGUUGGUGACAUGUGAUGCAGGUGUGUGUGCCACAUGCCUCACACGUGAUUCAGGAGCAGCUGUCACGUGGUUCAUGCCUGGCAGGCACUUGGUUCAGACUUGGCUGGCAUGUAUUUCAGGAGUGGCUCACAUGUGGCUCACGUGUGGCUGACACGUGGCUCACACAUGGCUCAGGUGUUUUUCAAGUGGGUCCCACAUGUGGUUCAGGCAUUGCUGACAUGUCAUUCAGGCACGGCUUGCAUGUUGUUUACAUGUGGUUCACAGGUGGUUCAGGCGUGGCUUCCAUGUGGCUCACAUAUGGCUCAGACAUGGCUCUUGUGUCGCUCACAUGUUUCUCAGAUGUUGUUCAAGCAUUGCUCUCAGUUGUUUCAGGCAUGGUUCAGGUGUGUCUCACAUAUGGUUCAGGUGUAGUUCAGGUGUGGCUCACAUGUGGUUCAGGCAUGGUUCAGGUGUGGCUCACACAUGGCUCAGGUGUAGUUCAGGUGUGGCUCACAAAUCGUUCACGUGUGGGUCACACAUGUUUCUGUUGAGGCUGACACGAGGUUCAGGUGUGGCUCACACAUGGCUCAGGUGUGGCUGACAUGUGGUUCAGGUGUGGCUGAUAGGUGCUUCCAGCAUGGGUGACACAUGGUUCAGGUGUGUCUGACAGGUUGUUCAGGCAUGCUGACACGUACCUAAGGUAUGGCUCACACGUGACUCAGGCAUUGCUGACACAUGAUUGAGAUGUGGUUCACACGUGACUCAGGUGUGGCUGACAGGUCACUCAGUGGUGGCUUACACAAAGUUCAGGAGUGGCUGAUGCUUGUUUCAGGCAUAGCUGCUGUGUGGCUCAGGGGUGGCUGGAGUGUGUUUCAGGCGUGGCUGGCAUGUGGUUCAGGUAGGGGUGAGAAAUGGUUCAUGCAUUGGUGACACAUGGCUCAGGCAUGGGUGACAGGUGGUUCAGGCUUGUCUGACACGUGGCUCAAGAGUGGCUGGCAUGUGGCUCAUGCUUGACUGAGGCAUGGCUGUUGCACGGUUCAGGUGUGGCUGGCUCGUGGUUCAGACGUGGCUGGCAUGUGGUUCAUGUGUGGCUGACACAUGUUUCAUGCUUAGUUGACUUGUGGUUCAGGAAUGGGUCACACGUGGCUCUGGCAUGUCUCUCACUUGUCUCCAGCUUGUCUCACAAGUGAUGCAAGCAUUUCCUGAUCAUGUUUCAGGCCUUUUUUACAUGGUUCAGGCAUGGAUGAGAUGUGGUUCAGGCAUAGCCAGCUGUUGGUUCGGGCAUUGGUGUCACAUUGUGCUGACGUGGCCAGCAUGUGUUUCAGGCGAGGCUUAAAUGUGAUUCAGGCAUCAAGAAAAUGUGAUUCUGGCAUGGUCGAAAUGUGGGUCACACAUGGCUGUCACGUGUACAGGCGUGGCAGAAGUGUGGUCCAGGUGUGGUGGAAAAGUCAUUCAGGCAUGGUAGAAACGUGGUUCACGGAUGGCAGAAACGUGGUUCAGGUGUGGUGGGAACCUGGUUCAUGUGCUGAUGGCACAUUGUUCUGAGGUGGCCAACACAUGUGUUACAAGUGGCAGGGACAUUGUACAGGCGUGGCAGAAACGUGGUCCAGGCAUAGGGGAAAAGUCAUUCAGGUGUGGCAGAAACAUGGUUCAGGCUGGGCUGGCAUGUGGUUUAAGCAUGGAUGGCAUGUGGUUCUGGUGUGGCCAGCACAUGACACUGGUGUGGCCAGCAUGCUGUCAUGUGGUUCAGGCCUGGCUAAAAUGUGGAUCAGGUGUGGGUGACAUGCUGUUGUGACAUGGGUGACACAUCAUUCUGGUGUGGCUGCCACAUAGUCCACACAUGACUGACAUGUGGUCAAGGUGUGCUGACAUGUUGAUUGUGUGUGUCUGGCACAUGUUUAUGUCAUGUGGUUCAGGCAUGGCUGGCACAUGAUUCACACAUUGCUCACACUUGACUCAGGUGUGGAUCACAUGUGGUUCAGGCAUGGCUGACACAUGACUCAGGUGUGACUGAUACGUGAUUCAGGCUUGGCUUACACGUGGUUCAGGUGUAGCUCAGUCGUGGCUCACAUGAACUUCAGUCAUGGCACAAAUCUUCUACAUGCAUGGCUCUCAUGUGGUUCAUUUGUGGCUUGCAUGUGACUCUGGUGUGGCUCACACGUGGUCCCUGCAUGGCUUGCAGGUGGUUCAGGCAUGGAUGACACGUGGUUCAAGAGUGACUGACACAUGACCCAGGCAUGGCUCUCACAUGUUUCAGCCUUGG
This 8803-nucleotide long non-coding RNA is filed under the name Equus caballus (horse). Its description in RNAcentral is "lncRNA (ENSECAG00000050045.1)". The record is from RNAcentral. Lineage: Eukaryota; Metazoa; Chordata; Mammalia; Perissodactyla; Equidae.